RNAcentral lists this ribosomal RNA (380 nucleotides) under uncultured eukaryote. RNAcentral describes it as "partial 18S ribosomal RNA". It matches the Rfam family "Eukaryotic small subunit ribosomal RNA", at positions 592 to 976 of the family's 1831-position model. The record is from RNAcentral.
CAAUAGCGUAUAUUAAAGUUGUUGCAGUUAAAAAGCUCGUAGUUGGGUUUGUGGCGUACGGUGUGUUCCGGGCACUUGUUGUCUGAGUAACCUGCUGUUGCCAUCCUUGGGUGGAACCUGUGUGGCAUUAGGUUGUCGUGCAGGGGAUGCCCAUCAUUUACUGUGAAAAAAUUAGAGUGUUCAAAGCAGGCUUAUGCCGUUGAAUAUAUUAGCAUGGAAUAAUGAGAUAGGACUUUUUUGCUAUUUUGUUGGCUUGCGCAAGAAGGUAAUGAUUAAUAGGGACAGUUGGGGGUAUUCGUAUUCCAUUGUCAGAGGUGAAAUUCUUGGAUUUUUGGAAGACGAACUACUGCGAAAGCAUUUACCAAGGAUGUUUUCAUUAA